Molecule: long non-coding RNA, 867 nt
Organism: Gorilla gorilla gorilla (western lowland gorilla)
Lineage: Eukaryota; Metazoa; Chordata; Mammalia; Primates; Hominidae
Exons: 4
Source: RefSeq, a predicted model, not a curated record
GCCUGGCUAGGGCUUCACCCUCCGGCUUGUGCCCACGAACCUAGGUGAGGACAGGCACUCCUGCCUUUGGGCCCAAAUGUUGCAUUUUCCAAAACCACCCUGGCCCACCACGCCCCCAUCCUGGGCCGAUAAAAACUGAGACUCUAGCAGGCAGAUACACAAGCGUCUGGACGUCCAGAGGAGGGGAUCAGCGGAAGAAGACACAAGCAGCCGGACAUCGAGAGGAUGUCGAGGGGAGCAUGCCAGUGGAAGAGCACAUGACAGACACUGGCAGGACAGCAGGCCAUUGACUGGAGGAACGAUGUGGAGUUUAGCGAGAUCAGGUGGAGGAGAGCACGGGCCGCUAAGCAGAGGGACCCCUGGUGCAUCUCCCGUCUGGCUCCCCCAUCUGCUGAGAACUACUUCUACUCAGUAAAACCUCGGACUCAUUCUCCAAGCCCUCGCGUGAUCUGAUUCUUCCGGUACACCACGGCAGGAAACCCUGGGAUACAGAAAUCCCCCCGUCGUUGUGGAUUUUAGAAUGCCAAGCUGACAUUUUGAGUUGUUACGAGAAACCAGAAAAUUGGUGUGAAGACCCUAAGUGGUGCGUCUGACUUACAGCAGGCCCACAGCAAAUAUAUUGGAGACUUCUCAACUUUCUGCUUCUGAUGAUCUCAACUUGUGGUACGGCAAAAGGAGAGCAAAAUGUUCACCCAGGAAUGAGAAGUCCUGGCAGCUGAGUCAUGAUCCCCCAGGAGCCGUUAAGAAGUUCAUCUUCAGUCACUUCCAUCCAAACAGAAGAAAACCCAUGAAGGAUGAGAACUAUGGGUCCUGAGAAUGACAGGUAAUUGGUGCCACUUUAUUCACAGAAUCCAAUAAAUAGUACUC